Molecule: ribosomal RNA, 425 nt
Filed under: uncultured bacterium
Lineage: Bacteria
Description: partial 16S ribosomal RNA
Rfam family: Bacterial small subunit ribosomal RNA
Source: RNAcentral
GUUAGGAAUAUUGGACAAUGGACGCAAGUCUGAUCCAGCCAUGCCGCGUGAGUGAUGAAGGCCUUCGGGUUGUAAAGCUCUUUAGCCGAUGAUUAUAAUGACUGUAGUCGGAAAAUAAGCCCCGGCUAACUUCGUGCCAGCAGCCGCGGUAAUACGAAGGGGGCGAGCGUUAUUCGGAAUCACUGGGCGUAAAGCGUGCGUAGGCGGUCUCGUAAGUUAGGAGUGAAAGCCCAGGGCUCAACCUUGGAAUUGCUAUUAAAACUGCAAGGCUAGAAUAUCGGAGAGGAUAGAGGAAUUUCCAGUGUAGCAGUGAAAUGCGUAGAUAUUGGAAGGAACACCAGUGGCGUAAGCGGCUAUCUGGACGAGUAUUGACGCUGAGGCACGAAAGCGUGGGGAUCAAACAGGAUUAGAAACCCUAGUAGUCC